CCAAAGGAUUUGACUCUUAAAUCCACCUACAUUUAAAAGAAAAAUAAAU
Non-coding RNA from Fukomys damarensis (Damara mole-rat), 49 nucleotides. Lineage: Eukaryota; Metazoa; Chordata; Mammalia; Rodentia; Bathyergidae. The record is from Rfam.